UGGGGGAUAUUGGACAAUGGGGGCAACCCUGAUCCAGCGACGCCGCGUGAGGGAAGAAGGUUUUCGGAUUGUAAACCUCUGUUGACGGAGAAAAAAAUGAUGGUAUCCGUUUAGAAAGCCACGGCUAACUACGUGCCAGCAGCCGCGGUAAUACGUAGGUGGCAAGCGUUGUCCGGAAUUACUGGGUGUAAAGGGAGUGUAGGCGGGAUAUCAAGUCAGAAGUGAAAAUUACGGGCUCAACUCGUAACCUGCUUUUGAAACUGACAUUCUUGAGUGAAGUAGAGGCAAGCGGAAUUCCUAGUGUAGCGGUGAAAUGCGUAGAUAUUAGGAGGAACACCAGUGGCGAAGGCGGCUUGCUGGGCUUUUACUGACGCUGAGGCUCGAAAGCGUGGGGAGCAGACAGGAUUAGAUACCCUGGUAGUCCACGCCGUAAACGAUGAUUACUAGGUGUGGGGGGAUUGACCCCUUCCGUGCCGGAGUAAACACAAUAAGUAAUCCACCUGGGGAGUACGACCGCAAGGUUGAAACUCAAAGGAAUUGACGGGGGCCCGCACAAGCAGUGGAGUAUGUGGUUUAAUUCGACGCAACGCGAAGAACCUUACCAGGUCUUGACAUCAAGUGACCGCCUAAGAGAUUAGGUUUUCCCUUCGGGGACACAAAGACAGGUGGUGCAUGGUUGUCGUCAGCUCGUGUCGUGAGAUGUUGGGUUAAGUCCCGCAACGAGCGCAACCCUUAUCAUUAGUUGCUACGCAAGAGCACUCUAAUGAGACUGCCGUUGACAAAACGGAGGAAGGUGGGGAUGACGUCAAAUCAUCAUGCCCUUUAUGACCUGGGCUACACACGUACUACAAUGGCGUUUAACAAAGAGAAGCAAAGCCGCGAGGCAGAGCAAAUCUCCAAAAAACGUCUCAGUUCGGAUUGUAGGCUGCAACUCGCCUACAUGAAGUCGGAAUUGCUAGUAAUCGUAGGUCAGCAUACUACGGUGAAUACGUUCCC
Molecule: ribosomal RNA, 996 nt
Filed under: uncultured organism
Description: bacterial SSU rRNA
Rfam family: Bacterial small subunit ribosomal RNA
Source: RNAcentral